GGUGAUACUUGUUAUACUUAAUCCUUGAUAAUUGACCAUUUUCAUCAGCAAGUUUUGUUCAUUUCAGUGGUAUUGUUUACAUUCAUUGCCGCCAAUAUGGCCUGUUGAUGACAUGUCGUGAAAACUUAACCUUAUUGUAAAUAGCCUGCCUCUACCAUUCAGAUUCCCCUCAAGAGGUCUCCCGGAUUUUGGUACCUAUACACUGACAGUUUACUCUGCAGUGGAAAGAUCAAUUUUGUUAACACUGAUUUCAUUUAAUUGGUAAAAGCCCUAUAGUAUGUUAUCAUAUUAAAUGAAAUGUGCUGCACUUUAUUUCAUAUUCCUCCCCAACCAUAAAAUGUUCAGCUGUUUCUUAAUAGUAUAGGCUGUACUAGUUGUAAAAUGGCACAUGUUUAUAUAUAUAUAUAUAUAUAUAUAUAUACACUACUGCUCAGAAGUUUGGGAUCAGUAAGACUUGUAAUGUUUUUUUUUAAAGAAGUCUCUUAUGUUCAUCAAGGCUGCAUUUAUUUGAUCAAAAAUACAGAAAAAAAAACAGUAAUACUGCAUAAUGUUAUUACAAUAUAAAAUAAUGGUUUUUAUUUUAAUAUACUUUAAAAUGUAAUUUAUUCCUGUGAUGCAAACCUAAAUUUUCAUCAGCUGUUACUCCAGUCGUAAGUGUCACAUAAAUCUCCAGAAAUCAUUCUAAUAUGCUGAUUUACUAUUAGAAUUAUCAAUGUUGGAAACAGUUGCUGCCAAAUAUAUAUAUAUAUAUAUA
Labeo rohita (rohu) is the source of this 754-nucleotide long non-coding RNA. RefSeq lists it as uncharacterized. The record is from RefSeq and is a predicted model, not a curated record. The transcript is spliced from 3 exons. Lineage: Eukaryota; Metazoa; Chordata; Actinopteri; Cypriniformes; Cyprinidae.